RNAcentral lists this ribosomal RNA (302 nucleotides) under uncultured bacterium. RNAcentral describes it as "partial 16S ribosomal RNA". It matches the Rfam family "Bacterial small subunit ribosomal RNA", at positions 508 to 809 of the family's 1533-position model. The record is from RNAcentral.
GCAGUAGCCACGGUAAUACGUAGGUGGCAAGCGUUGUCCGGAAUUAUUGGGCGUAAAGGGCUCGCAGGCGGUUUCUUAAGUCUGAUGAGAAAGCCCCCGGCUCAACCGGGGAGGGUCAUUGGAAACUGGGAAACUUGAGUGCAGAAGAGGAGAGUGGAACCCCACGUGUAGCGGUGAAAUGCGUAGAGAUGUGGAGGAACACCAGUGGCGAAGGCGACUCUCUGGUCUGUAACUGACGCUGAGGAGCGAAAGCGUGGGGAGCGAACAGGAUUAGAUACCCCGGUAGUCCCUGUCUCUUAUCC